UGUCUGGCGGCGAUAGCGCGGUGGUCCCACCUGACCCCAUGCCGAACUCAGAAGUGAAACGCCGUAGCGCCGAUGGUAGUGUGGGGUCUCCCCAUGUGAGAGUAGGGAACUGCCAGACUU
This 120-nucleotide ribosomal RNA is filed under the name Moellerella wisconsensis ATCC 35017. Lineage: Bacteria; Pseudomonadati; Pseudomonadota; Gammaproteobacteria; Enterobacterales; Morganellaceae. The record is from RNAcentral.